Molecule: transfer RNA, 102 nt
Filed under: Penicillium nalgiovense
Lineage: Eukaryota; Fungi; Ascomycota; Eurotiomycetes; Eurotiales; Aspergillaceae
Description: tRNA-Tyr
Rfam family: tRNA
About the family: Transfer RNA (tRNA) molecules are approximately 80 nucleotides in length.
Source: RNAcentral
UCCCCUGAUAGCUCAGCUGGAAGAGCGCAAGACUGUAAUUGAUCUGUUCUUCAGAGAACCUGUAAUCUUGAGGUCCCUGGUUCGAUCCCGGGUCAGGGGAUC